AGGCGCGUGCCACGCGCUGCUGCUCCAGCCAGCCCUGCGUCCUCAACGUCCCAGUUUCUUCCUUCGAGCCCCGGGAGUGCCCUACUGAGAACCAGGCAGAGAGGGAACCCAGAAAGUCCAGACGGGUUGCUGAUUAGCACACGAUUAGCCAACAGAAUCAGACAUGAAGUCAUCCAGUUCCCACCAGUGGUCGGAGAUGCAGACAACACUUACAUCAGGGAUAAAAGGCAGAAGCCAUCUCACUCCCUCACCACUUACUAACAUAACCACUUACUAACCUAACCACUUACUAACCUAACCACUUACUAACCUAACCACUUACUAACCUAACCACUUACUAACCUAACCCAGUUUGGGUUUUGGUACACCUGUUGUUGUUGCUGUUGUUGUUGCUGUUGUUGUUGCUGUUGUUGCUGCUGCUGCUGCUGUUGUUGUUUGUAACGAGAAUCGCCUUUGAAGCUACCUUCCUUCUGUUUGUGUCCCUGAGUGCCACAGUGAAUUCUCUAUUUCUAACCACCAGUGUACGUAGUCUAAGGCCUUACCACCUUGAAUAACAUCAGUGGACAUGCCAUGCCAAUUCAGAUUGGGGGAGUUCCACAAGGCCCCAUUUGUAGAUGAAGUGCUACAGGCAAUCAAAGGUUGCUGAAAGAGGGGGAAUUGGGCUUCUUCAGGGACAAGACCCUUGAUAAAUAAAUUAUCGCAUCCCAAAUAUACAGCCAUAAACUAAAUGGGCUCUGUAGGUUUGUGUGUGUGUGUGUGUGUGUGUGUGUGUGUGUGUGUGUGUGUGUGUGUGUGUAAAACAUAUCAUUAGAUAGAUAGAUAGAUAGAUAGAUAGAUAGAUAGAUAGAUAGAUAGAUAGAUAGAGAUAGAUAGAUAAUGAUAUGUGUUACAAUAACAAUUAUACAAGAAGAAGAGGUCAUGAACUUGACAGGAAAUGGAGAGAGGUAGAAAAUUUGUUUUGGUGAUGUGGUGGAUUGGUUUCAAGACAGGGUUUCUCUGUAUAGACCUGUCUAUCAUGGAAUUCAUUCUGUAGACUAAGUUGGCCUCUGACUCAGAGAUCCAUCUGCCGAUUUCUGCUUCCCCAAAGCUGGAAUUAAAGGAAUGCCCUACCAUACCCUUCAGAAAAGAUUUAAAUGCAAUUCAGAUCCUGUACACGUGUCCCAGGCUACCAGACUCCCUCCCUUCCCCUGCCAACCAGGAACCAGCCUGACUACAAUUACUUACUAUGGAAUGCCCAUCAGUCACAUGGUAUAGAGCCAGCUCCCUCCUCUGAAAUGUAUAAGAAGGGACAUUAUUGUGCCACAUGGGCCUACACUCCCUUCAGGGUACCCACAGUUGUCUUUCAGUCAAUCAAAAUUGUCAACUCGAUUAAUAAAUCUUUGACCCGAA
Molecule: long non-coding RNA, 1389 nt
Filed under: Mus musculus (house mouse)
Lineage: Eukaryota; Metazoa; Chordata; Mammalia; Rodentia; Muridae
Description: predicted gene, 31645
Source: RNAcentral